CACGUAGGGUGCGAGCGUUGUCCGGAAUUAUUGGGCGUAAAGAGCUCGUAGGCGGUGUGUCGCGUCGGCCGUGAAAACCUGCAGCUUAACUGUGGGCUUGCGGUCGAUACGGGCAUCACUGGAGUUCGGCAGGGGAGACUGGAAUUCCUGGUGUAGCGGUGGAAUGCGCAGAUAUCAGGAGGAACACCAAUGGCGAAGGCAGCUCGCUGGAACGGUACUGACGCUGUGGCGCGAAAGCGUGGGGAGCGAACAGG
Molecule: ribosomal RNA, 254 nt
Filed under: uncultured bacterium
Lineage: Bacteria
Description: partial 16S ribosomal RNA
Rfam family: Bacterial small subunit ribosomal RNA
Source: RNAcentral